This 107-nucleotide small nuclear RNA is filed under the name Mus spicilegus (steppe mouse). The record is from RNAcentral. Lineage: Eukaryota; Metazoa; Chordata; Mammalia; Rodentia; Muridae.
GUACUCUCUUCAGCAACACAUAUACUAAAACUGGAAAGAUACAGAGAAUAUUAGCAUGGCCUCUGUGCAAGGAUGAAAUGCAAAUUUGUGAAGCUUUCCAUAUUUUU